GCCUUUGUGGUGUAACGGCAGCACACUCGGCGGGUAUUCGAGAGGUCCAGAUUCGAAUCCCGACGAGGGUA
This 71-nucleotide transfer RNA is filed under the name Stegodyphus mimosarum. It matches the Rfam family "tRNA". From Rfam's summary of the family: Transfer RNA (tRNA) molecules are approximately 80 nucleotides in length. Lineage: Eukaryota; Metazoa; Arthropoda; Arachnida; Araneae; Eresidae. The record is from Rfam by way of RNAcentral.